Molecule: long non-coding RNA, 233 nt
Organism: Tupaia belangeri chinensis (Chinese tree shrew)
Lineage: Eukaryota; Metazoa; Chordata; Mammalia; Scandentia; Tupaiidae
Exons: 3
Source: RefSeq, a predicted model, not a curated record
CAGAAGGUGAGUGGAAUAGGUCAUGGCUUCUCUCUUUCCACCAGAAGAUCUGGAACACAUGGGAGGCAUGGGUUCGAUCCCAAGUCCAACCUAACGGCCGUGAAUGACAGCACAUCCUGUACCCGUGCCACGGAGGGAGGCUGAGGCAGGAGGAUUAUGACAUGAUAAUUCCUGUGGUUGCCCGUGGUUUGAAGAAGUGAGUUGAUUCCAUACAUAUGUCUGCUUCUAUAAGG